Molecule: ribosomal RNA, 119 nt
Filed under: Cricetulus griseus (Chinese hamster)
Lineage: Eukaryota; Metazoa; Chordata; Mammalia; Rodentia; Cricetidae
Source: RNAcentral
GUCUACAGCCAUACCACCCUGAACACGCCCAAUCUCAUCUGAUCUUGGAAGCUAAGCAGAGUCGGGCCUGGCUAGUACUUGGAUGGGAGACAGCCUGGGAAUACUGGGUGCUGUAGGUU